This 761-nucleotide ribosomal RNA is filed under the name uncultured Bacteroidota bacterium. RNAcentral describes it as "bacterial SSU rRNA". It matches the Rfam family "Bacterial small subunit ribosomal RNA", at positions 102 to 867 of the family's 1533-position model. The record is from RNAcentral. Lineage: Bacteria; Pseudomonadati; Bacteroidota.
ACGGGUGAGUAUCGCGUAUACAAUCUGCCUCAUACUAGGGAAUAGCCCGAAGAAAUUUGGAUUAAUGCCCUAUAGUAUCUUUUUAAGGCAUCUUAUUAAGAUUAAAGUUUUCGGUAUGAGAUGAGUAUGCGUUCUAUUAGCUAGUAGGUGUGGUAACGGCACACCUAGGCUACGAUAGAUAGGGGCCCUGAGAGGGGGAUCCCCCACACUGGUACUGAGACACGGACCAGACUCCUACGGGAGGCAGCAGUAAGGAAUAUUGGUCAAUGGACGAAAGUCUGAACCAGCCAUGCCGCGUGCAGGAUGACUGCCCUAUGGGUUGUAAACUGCUUUUAUAUAGGAAGAAAAACUUUCUCGUGAGAAAGCUUGACGGUACUAUAAGAAUAAGGAUCGGCUAACUCCGUGCCAGCAGCCGCGGUAAUACGGAGGAUCCAAGCGUUAUCCGGAAUCAUUGGGUUUAAAGGGUCCGUAGGUGGACAGAUAAGUCAGAGGUGAAAUCCUGCAGCUCAACUGUAGAACUGCCUUUGAUACUGUUUGUCUUGAGUUAUUAUGAAGUGGUUAGAAUGUGUAGUGUAGCGGUGAAAUGCAUAGAUAUUACACAGAAUACCGACUGCGAAGGCAGAUCACUAAUAAUCAACUGACACUGAUGGACGAAAGCGUGGGUAGCGAACAGGAUUAGAUACCCUGGUAGUCCACGCCGUAAACGAUGGUCACUAGCUGUUUGGACUUCGGUCUGAGUGGCUAAGCGAAAGUGAUAAUGA